CGGCAGAGUUCUUCAAGGUUUAAUGUUAGCAAUAACAGGGAGCUUCAGAAACUGCCAGCUUUAAAAGGCAGAGACUUCAUAGCUGUGCCAAAUUCUGACUCUGUUCUGUGUAAAAGAACAUCAGGGUGGUGUCUCAACUUGUCUGCCUGUGAUACAGAACUCUGAUAGGGAGGCAAGCAUUAUUAAAGCUUUCCUAAUGUUUUUAAGCCAUAAAUGGCUGUCUAGGAGAUAGCUCUGUUUUCAUUAUCUGUACAAUAUUAAAGUCUGAUGAAUCAAAGUUGCAGAAGAGGUGAUUCUAGUUUGAGUCUGAUACCUAAAAAAAAAAAAAUAACAAUUGAAACAAAUUUUGAUUGCUAAAACUGUUGAAACCACGAGAAAGGAGGAAAAAGUGAGAAUUUUUCAAGAGGUCAGAAAUGUAAGAUUGUGUGUUUUUCUCAGUUGCAGAGUAAAGAUAAGUAAGCAAAACUGAUAUCAAGUAAAGGAAGAAGCAGUAUUGUUCUCUGUGUUGCAGAGAAAUUCAGCCACAUAUGUUGAUAAUUUCCACAAACUCUUCUUGGAAUAUGUUUAAACUUAAGCAGAGUGUGUUACCUGUUCAUUUAAAACCAACAUCUGUUUUCAUGAUACAAAAGAGACUGACUGGACAUGUGCAAUGUAAUUAAAUUUAUGGGAAUCAU
Molecule: long non-coding RNA, 674 nt
Organism: Corapipo altera (White-ruffed manakin)
Lineage: Eukaryota; Metazoa; Chordata; Aves; Passeriformes; Pipridae
Exons: 2
Source: RefSeq, a predicted model, not a curated record